Molecule: long non-coding RNA, 251 nt
Organism: Triticum dicoccoides
Lineage: Eukaryota; Viridiplantae; Streptophyta; Magnoliopsida; Poales; Poaceae
Exons: 3
Source: RefSeq, a predicted model, not a curated record
UCCGAAACACGCUGUUGUCGGUCCUCUCGCCUCCAUGAUCUGUCCGACUCGGCCGCAACGAACGGCAAGGCCACCUCCUUCCAUAUGACGCACGAGGUGUUGCAAGUAAGGAUACAAAGCAGUCUACCACCGGUGAGCUUCCAUGAUAUGGAUUAAACACCUUUUAGAAAUAGCAAUCUGAUGUGGAUAUCUUCAGGAAUCAAGAAGCGAAUGAGAUAAGGCAAGUGGACUUCUCAUUUGGUCACUUGAUA